UGCCAGCCGCCGCGGUAAUACGGAGGGUGCAAGCGUUGUUCGGAAUUAUUGGGCGUAAAGCGCGUGUAGGCGGUUCGUUAAGUCUGAUGUGAAAGCCCGGGGCUCAACCCUGGAACUGCCUCAUAAACUAUCAGUCUAGAGUUCGAGAGAGGUGAGUGGAAUUCCGAGUGUAGAGGUGAAAUUCGUAGAUAUUCGGAGAAACACCGAUGGCGAAGGCAUCUCUCUGGGCCGAUAUUGACGCUGAGGCGCGAAGGCGUGGGUAGCGAACGGGAUUAGAUA
Molecule: ribosomal RNA, 279 nt
Filed under: uncultured bacterium
Lineage: Bacteria
Description: partial 16S ribosomal RNA
Rfam family: Bacterial small subunit ribosomal RNA
Source: RNAcentral